GGUAGCAGAGUUAGAAACUCACAGAGACAGGCGGCGGCCGCACGGGGCGACAUGGAAGCUGCCCGGCGGGGGUGGAGCGAGUUGACGGAACAGCAGCCGGAGACGGGUGAAGAGGCUGACACUCCGGAGGGGUGGCCCAACUUGAUGGAACUGCUAGAGCCGGAAAAAGUGGAAUAACUAUUAAACUUUUUGGACACUUUGUUUUGGAAAAGGAA
Molecule: long non-coding RNA, 215 nt
Organism: Branchiostoma belcheri (Belcher's lancelet)
Lineage: Eukaryota; Metazoa; Chordata; Leptocardii; Amphioxiformes; Branchiostomatidae
Exons: 2
Source: RefSeq, a predicted model, not a curated record